CCUACGGGUGGCAGCAGUGGGGAAUAUUGGACAAUGGGCGAAAGCCUGAUCCAGCCAUGCCGCGUGUGUGAAGAAGGCCUUCGGGUUGUAAAGCACUUUCAGUGGGGAAGAAAGCCUUGGGGCUAAUACCCUCGAGGAAGGACAUCACCCACAGAAGAAGCACCGGCUAACUCCGUGCCAGCAGCCGCGGGAAUACGGAGGGUGCGAGCGUUAAUCGGAAUUACUGGGCGUAAAGCGCGCGUAGGCGGUCUGAUAAGCCGGUUGUGAAAGCCCCGGGCUCAACCUGGGAACGGCAUCCGGAACUGUCAGGCUAGAGUGCAGGAGAGGAAGGUAGAAUUCCCGGUGUAGCGGUGAAAUGCGUAGAGAUCGGGAGGAAUACCAGUGGCGAAGGCGGCCUUCUGGACUGACACUGACGCUGAGGUGCGAAAGCGUGGGUAGCAAACAGGAUUAGAUACCCCAGUAGUC
Molecule: ribosomal RNA, 465 nt
Filed under: Vreelandella stevensii
Lineage: Bacteria; Pseudomonadati; Pseudomonadota; Gammaproteobacteria; Oceanospirillales; Halomonadaceae
Description: partial 16S ribosomal RNA
Rfam family: Bacterial small subunit ribosomal RNA
Source: RNAcentral